UACGUAGGGUGCGAGCGUUGCCCGGAUUUAUUGGGCGUAAAGGGCGCGCAGGCGGCUACGCACGUCCGUUGUGAAAUCGCUCGGCUCAACUGGGCGGGGUCAGCGGAUACGGCGUGGCUGGAGCAAGCUAGGGGGCAAUGGAAUUCCCGGUGUAGUGGUGGAAUGCGUAGAUAUGAUGUAGAACACCGAUUGCGAAGGCAGCUCACUAAAUUGUAACUGACGCUGAGGCACGAAAGCGUGGGGAGCAAACAGG
This 253-nucleotide ribosomal RNA is filed under the name uncultured bacterium. RNAcentral describes it as "partial 16S ribosomal RNA". It matches the Rfam family "Bacterial small subunit ribosomal RNA", at positions 524 to 776 of the family's 1533-position model. The record is from RNAcentral.